UAUUGAAAAAGCCAAGUUCAUCGCGAGGUGGGUACGGAAAGUUAUGGGUCUCACGUAGAUCGCCAGACUACCAAU
RNAcentral lists this non-coding RNA (75 nucleotides) under Sulfurovum sp. AR. Its description in RNAcentral is "c-di-GMP-I riboswitch aptamer". It matches the Rfam family "c-di-GMP-I riboswitch aptamer". Rfam says of the family: GEMM was predicted in a large-scale screen for bacterial structured RNA regulatory elements. RNAcentral also lists the same sequence under 1 other name. Lineage: Bacteria; Pseudomonadati; Campylobacterota; Epsilonproteobacteria; Campylobacterales; Sulfurovaceae. The record is from Rfam by way of RNAcentral.